This 2026-nucleotide long non-coding RNA is filed under the name Homo sapiens (human). RNAcentral describes it as "HSALNT0310566". The record is from RNAcentral. Lineage: Eukaryota; Metazoa; Chordata; Mammalia; Primates; Hominidae.
UUCCAAGCAUGCACCAUUUAAUUUAAGUCAAAUUUCUGGAUGUAUGCUCAACUACUUUUAAUUGCUCUCCAGCCAAGUGUGCCAGCCUGGGAUUAAGAGCCCUGGUCUUUAGCCCUGGCACUAACUCACUGUGUGACCUAGGACAACCCAUUUCCCCUGUGGGUCUGGAUUUUUCUAGAUGUACAAUGAAAGCCUUGGACCAGAUGAGCUCUAAGCCCUUUCCAACUUUGGCAUCUCUCAGGGUCUGUGAUUCCUGAAACAUCAGUGGUUCCUAGACAGGGGUGAAGGAUCUCCCCUUUUACCCCUUGGUGAACAAUCUUUGCCCUCAAGUUCCCUCAGGUGCCUUAGCCUGGCACCAGUUCACCACGGCAAGAGCUGCCUGUAAAAUCUAAUUCACAAUACAAGUUUCUGGGGCCUUCCUGCAGCUGUCAGCAGGUGUCACAUUCACAGUAUUUUGUCUUAAUUACAGCUCUGGGAUUUAUCAGCCAGGCUAGAGACCUCUUCUGGAAUACGACAUCCCCGGGAGCUGUUCCAGGUGCUCCUGUCCCUGCUGCUGCCACACACAGGCCUGUUCCCUGCCGAUGGGGCUGAAGUAGAUUCUGCUUUGCAUGCUGCUCCUGCUGUGUCUCCCACCACUACCUCACAGAGAGCCUGUGUGACAUAGAUAACUCCCACAGCCUUCCCAGGGAUCCAGAGGCAAAGACAUCUACCUGUUUGGGGCAGUGCCAAGGCUCCCACCAGCCCUGGAGCACUUCACAUCCGCUGUCCCAUCCCAAAACCUUGGUGGGCAGAGAAAUAGAGGCGAAAAAUGACUCUUGGAGAAGUUAAGUCACUUGAUCUGGACCACAUAGCAAGUACAGAAUUGGGGUCAGAGUUCCAAAGGCACCUUGCACACAGCCCUAGGAGGAGGUGACCUCCUGUGGUCAUCUGACGCUGACCCUUGGUGAUGGCUCACUGGUUCCCAACCACUUCCAACCUUCCUGCUGUCCUCACUGCUCUAGUCUGGUGGGGCAGUUUCCGGGUUAGCUGGCUGCCUCCUCUACUAACUCCCAGCCACUGACUUCCCAUCAGAGGACCUUCUCUGAGUUGAGACUGUGUGGAAAAGGCUAACAUUCCCUCCAAAAUGUGUGCUCCCUCUUCCAUAGGCCAGAGUGAGCCCUGUGAAGUAGCUGCAUUUCCCAGCCCUCUGCAGUAUAGAGAGAUGGGGGCAUGUCAUUAUUCUUGCCAAUGAUUCUGCCUGGGUGCACAGACUCAAUUCCUGGGGGACAGUGGAGCCACGGGAUGUAAAGGGCCUGCACCCCUGAAUGCCAGAAUGGAGGUGCACUGCCCCCAACCAGGGACAUGGACUGUUAGGUGAGCAAAAAAUAAAUUUUGAUUAGGAUAAGCCACUAAAAUGCUCACCUGUUACAGCAGAUAGCAUUGCCCUAACCCAGUAGUGAGGUGCCAACAAUGGGACACAUUCCGUGAUGUUCCCCAUUCAAUCCUUUGAUCCCCGCAACAGCCCCACAAGGUAUAUAUUAGUACUGUCAUCCUCAUUUUCAGGUAAGGCUCAGGGAGAUUAAGGGAUGCACCCAAGGUCAAACACAACCAGUAGGCAGUAGGCCAGGAUUGAAUCUGGAUGUCUGACUCCAGAGACUUCUGGAGGUUCAGUUACCAGCACACGGUGGAGAUCUUCCUCCACCACCACCACCUAGAGAGAAUGAGCAGGAAACCUCAGAAGAAAUGGCACCCAAAAGAGCCAGAAGUGUCGCCUCAGCCAGCUAAGGUUGGAACCACUUACCAACGCCCAGAAUCACGUCUUUCCAAUCAAACCCAAUGACUGUUCAUCUCUGGGUUUCAGUUUCCUGGUUUGUAAACUCCCAUGAGUAAACAAUCUCUGAUUAUCCCGACCACAGAGAGGGUUCAAUCAGGUGUGCUGGUGGUCUUCAAUCAAACAUGGAUUUACCUCCCCUAUUCUAUUCUUCAAAGAGGGUGACAAAUCUGCAACUCACUUGAAAUCCAUCAAUAAAAAAGAUUAAUAAACAGA